CAUUUACUACUUUUUUGUGGUUUUCUCAGUUCUCUGAACAGCAAAUGGAUUUUUAGGGUUGUUCAUUUUUUUUCAUUUACUAGCCAACCAUGUUUUCUUUGUUCAGAUCUGUGUCAAACAAACCAUUUUUUGUUAUGGUAUUUGUCUUUCUGAAAGCCAAGAAGAAAUGUCUUUUCACUUGCCAUUAAUUGUUUUCGUCGUUUUCUGCGUACCCCUUCAGUUACCAAUGCGCGUUUUCUAAUUUUUCACUCUUUUCGAUGUUUCACGCUUUCCAUUGCUACACGCCUUUCCAGUUUUCCAUUUUCCAUUUCCGUUGUGCCUUUUGGAUUGUGGGUUUUGAAUUCUCUCCUGUUUUGAUUUGCUCUCACGCUUUUAUUAAGCCUGGAAUUCGUAUUCAGCUUGGUUUGCCAUGUAUCAUGAGGUUUGAAUAUCAGUGUAUGUGUUUUUGUAAUUUAUUCUGAGUUUUCGCAGUCCAACAAGACAAAAGGUUGGACCUUUGUUCAUUUUAUCAUUAGUUUAUCUUUUCCUAUACCUUGCUUUGCGAUUUUUGGUGGGUUAAUUUUGUCUGUCACACAUUGUUGCCGCUUGAUGUUCAUCUGCAUCAUGAACAACCUUCUUAGCAACUCAUUACAUACACGUUUUUAUUUGAUUUCAUGAUGGUCGAGAACAACAAAGAAGGCAAAAACGAUAGGUGAAGCACAAUAAAGGCCGUUAACACUGUCCCACAAACUCAUUACAUACAGGUUGCGAAGUAGGACAGUCACAUCCAAUUUAAAGCUUCAUAUCAAUGGUGACUUAGUUUUCAAGGGCCCAUCAAAUAUGAUGGCAAGAACACGAUUUACAGCAGCAUUUCGUGUUCAGAAGAACAUCAUUGAAGUUCCAUUGAGUUACCAUAGUCAAUGGAGGCCAUAUUACCCAACUUAUGUUUUAUUUGACUACAAUGGAACCAAGCAUUUUAUUAGGGUGCACAAAUGUGGCACUCGAUGUUUUUUUGCUGAUGGGCUGAAAGAGUUUAGAAGAACCCACGACAUUAAUGACAGUGUCAUUAUCCGAUUUUUUGCAGCCUCUAAAGAUACUUCUUUGGAAGUCGACAUCAUGGGACCUAUCCUUAGACAGACAUGUCAAAGGUCGGUUGUUACAACCAGAAGGCACAUCUUUACCGCUGAUGUCACCCAAGACAUGAUCGAACAUACCAACCC
Glycine soja is the source of this 1199-nucleotide long non-coding RNA. RefSeq lists it as uncharacterized. The transcript is spliced from 4 exons. The record is from RefSeq and is a predicted model, not a curated record. NCBI's taxonomy places the organism in Eukaryota, Viridiplantae, Streptophyta, Magnoliopsida, Fabales, Fabaceae.